UACGUAGGUGGCAAGCGUUGUCCGGAAUUAUUGGGCGUAAAGGGCGUGUAGGUGGAUGAUUAAGUCGUGUGUCUAAGUGCGGGGCUCAACCCCGUAUGGGCGCAGGAAACUGGUUAUCUUGAGUGCAGGAGAGGAAAGUGGAAUUCCCAGUGUAGCGGUGAAAUGCGUAGAUAUUGGGAGGAACACCAGUGGCGAAGGCGACUUUCUGGACUGUGUCUGACACUGAGGCGCGAAAGCUAGGGGAGCGAAC
This 250-nucleotide ribosomal RNA is filed under the name uncultured bacterium. RNAcentral describes it as "partial 16S ribosomal RNA". It matches the Rfam family "Bacterial small subunit ribosomal RNA", at positions 524 to 773 of the family's 1533-position model. The record is from RNAcentral.